Long non-coding RNA from Magnolia sinica, 302 nucleotides. RefSeq lists it as uncharacterized. The transcript is spliced from 4 exons. The record is from RefSeq and is a predicted model, not a curated record. NCBI's taxonomy places the organism in Eukaryota, Viridiplantae, Streptophyta, Magnoliopsida, Magnoliales, Magnoliaceae.
CUUUGGGAUCUACAGUAAAUGUGCAUCAUUGGGACCUACAGUAAAUGUGCCACUAUAAAGAAACACCACAAUCCAUCUGAUGCUUCUAAGCAUACAUGAUUUAGAAAAGACCAUAGAAUGGAAGAUUACUGUGGCAUGACUUGACGAAAGGUGAUUUCCAUCAUCUAAUGGAAACUCCAAAGUCCUUUCACUUAUCAUCUAAGUCUUGUCAUCCAACAAUAUGAUUCAAGCAUUUGAAAUGAUGGCAAUUGUUGUGGUUUUGGUUUAUAACAACUUAAAGAUUUAGCUUAAUCAUCAUAGGU